AGGUCACUGGGGUAAUGGUAUCCUGUCGGUCUCCAAAACCGUACGAUGAGCGUUCGAAUCGUUCGUGACCUG
This 72-nucleotide transfer RNA is filed under the name Lachnospiraceae bacterium. Its description in RNAcentral is "tRNA-Trp". It matches the Rfam family "tRNA". From Rfam's summary of the family: Transfer RNA (tRNA) molecules are approximately 80 nucleotides in length. Their secondary structure includes four short double-helical elements and three loops (D, anti-codon, and T loops). Lineage: Bacteria; Bacillati; Bacillota; Clostridia; Lachnospirales; Lachnospiraceae. The record is from RNAcentral.